GUCUUUUUAGGGCCACACCCGAGACAUAUGGAGGUUCCCAGGCUAGGGGUCUAAUUGGAGCUACAGCUGCCGGGCUACUAUACCACAGUCACAGCCACGCCAGAUCUGAGCCAUGUCUGUGACCUACACCACAGCUCGUGGCAACGGUGGAUCCUGAACCCACUGAGCGAGGCUAGUGAUCGAACCCUCAACCUCAUGGUUCCUAGUCAGAUUCGUUUCUGCUGUGCCACAAUGGGAACUCAAGUUUAUCUUUUUCUGACUAUUACAACAUAUAUCCACAUGAGAGAAUAUAUAGAAAAUACAGAAAAAUAGAGACAUGAAAUUAAAGUACCCUGUGUCUUGUUAGAAAGCCCCCAAUAUUAUUUUUUUGGUCUAUUUUGUUGGUAAUUUUUUUUCAGUUUAUGUGGUUAAGAUCAUAUCGUGUAUGCAAUUUUUUUUUGGCCACACUCACAGCAUGUGGAAGUUCCCAGGCCAGGGCUUGAACCUGUGCCACAGCAGUGGCCCUGGUUACUGCAAUGACAAUGCCAGAUCCUUAACCCACUGUACCACAAUGGGAACUCCCUGUAAUAUUUUUACUUUGCUUUUUUAUUGUGGUUUAAAUACACAUGACAUAAAAUCUACCAUUUUAACCAUUUUAUUUAUUUAUUUAUUUUUCCUGUCUUUUAGGGCCGCACCUGCAACAUACGGAGGAGGUACCCAGGCUAGGGGUCGAAUCUGAGCUGUAGCUGCCAGCCUAUGCCACAGAUCACGGCAACACCGGAUCCUUAACCCACUGAGCAAGGCCAGGGAUUGAACUUGCGUCCUCAUGGAUGCUAGUCAGAUUCGUUUCCGCUGAGCCACAGUGAAAACUCCUUAACCAUUUUAAAGCAUACCGCUCAUUCGGCAUUAAGUACAUUCCCAUUUUUGUGCAGCCAUCACCACCAUCCGUCCCCAGAACUUGUUCAUCUUCCCAAACCAGAACUUUGUACGAGCUGCAUCUGUGACCUACACCACAGCUCAUGGCAAUGCCAGAUCCUUAACCCACUGAGCGAGGCCAGGGAUCGAACCCGCAACCUCAAGUUUCCUAGGUGGAUUCAUUUCUGAUGCACCACAAAGCGAACUGCAGUGGUAGCCUACUUUUUUAAAUUUUUAAAAAUUUUUCCCACUGUACAGCAAGGGGAUCAAGUUACACUUACAUGUAUACAUUUUUCCCCCCACCCUUUGUUCUGUUGCAAAAUGAGUAUCUAGACAUAGUUCUCAAUGCUACUCAGCAGGAUCUCCUUGUAAAUCUAUUCCAAGUUGUAUCUGAUAACCCCAAGCUCCCGAUCUCUCCCACUCCCUCCCUCUCCCGUCGGCAGCCACAAGUCUAUUUUCCAAGUCCAUGAUUUUCUUUUCUGUGGAGAUGUUCAUUUGUGCUGGAUAUUAGAUUCCAGUUAUAAGUGAUAUCAUAUGGUAUUUGUCUUUGUCUUUCUGACUCAUUUCACUCAGUAUGAGAGUCUCUAGUUACAUCCAUGUUGUUGCAAAUGGCAUUAUGUCAUUCUUUUUUAUGGCUGAGUAGUAUUCCAUUGUAUAUAUAUAUAAUCACAUCUUCCUAAUCCAAUCAUCUGUCGAUGGACAUUUAGGUUGUUUCCAUGUCCUGGCUAUUGUGAAUAGUGCUGCAAUGAACAUGUGGGUGCAUGUGUCUCUCUCUCUUUUUUUGUCUUUUUGUCUUUUUUUUUUUUUGUUGUUGUUGUUGUUGCUAUUUCUUGGGCCGCUACCACGGCAUAUGGAGGUUCCCAGGCUAGGGGUUGAAUCGGAGCUGUAGCCACCGGCCUACGCCAGAGCCAUAGCAAUGCGGGAUCCGAGCCGCGUCUUCAACCUACACCACAGCUCACGGCAACGCCGGAUCGUUAACCCACUGAGCAAGGGCAGGGACCGAACCCGCAACCUCAUGGUUCCUAGUCAGAUUCGUUAACCACUGCGCCACGACGGGAACUCCCAUGUGUCUCUUUUAAGUAGAGUUUUGUCGGGAUAUAUGCCCAAGAGUGGGAUUGUGGGGUCAUAUGGAAGUUCUAUGUAUAGGUUUCUAAGGUAUCUCCAAACUGUUCUCCAUAGUGGCUGUACCAGUUUACAUUCCCACCAGCAGUGCAGGAGGGUUCCCUUUUCUCCACAGCCCCUCCAGCACUUGUUAUUUGUGGAUUUAUUGAUGAUGGCCAUUCUGACUGGUGUGAGGUGAUAUCUCAUGGUAGUUUUGAUUUGCAUUUCUCUUAUAAUCAGCGAUGUUGAGCAUUUUUUCAUGUGUUUGUUGGCCAUCUGUAUAUCUUCUUUGGAGAAAUGUCUAUUCAUGUCUUUUGCCCAUUUUUCCAUUGAUUGAUUAGUUUUUUUGCUGUUGAAUUGUAUAAGUUGCUUAUAUAUUCUAGAGAUUAAGCCCUUGUCCAUUGCAUCAUUUGAAACUAUUUUCUCCCAUUCUGUAAGUUGUCUUUUUGUUUUCUUUUUGGUUUCCUUUGUUGUGCAAAAGCUUUUCAGUUUGAUGAGGUCCCAUUGGUUUAUUCUUGCUCUUAUUUCUAUUGCUUCUCAGGUCAGGAGACUGACCUGAGAAGCCCUAUUGUUGGUGUUUUCCUACUUUUCCCUUGUAGAUAAAGCUUUGAGUAGUGGUUGGGACAUAAAACACUAUCUGUCCUUCUCUAUUUUUUUGUUUGUUUGUUUGUUUGUUUUUUUCUUUUUGGCUACUCCUGGGGCGUGUGGAAGUUCCUGGGCCAAGGAUCGAACAUGCACCACAGCAGCCUCUGGAGUGACAAUGCCAGAUCUUUAACCUGCUGAGUCACGAGGGAACUCUCAGGUUUUGGUUUGUUUGUCAUCAUUGGUUUUGAUAACCUCCACUACCAUUUUCCUCCUUGAGUCACCUGAUGGAAUGUUGGCUGAAGAGCAGCUGUUGUGGUCUGGGAAUGACCUUCAACUCUGUUAACCUGAGAAUUCACACAGUCCGAAGAGUUGGAAGGGACUUUGGAAGAAAUGCAGUUCAGAUGUAUUAUCUCUUUUUGCUACUUGAAUGCUUCCUGUGAUGGGGUGCUCACCCCACCACCGGGUCGACAAUUCCAUCACUCGACAGUGGUCUUGAGCGUGUUGAGGUGACCAGGGGAAGACGCAGGAAAGUACGUUUCUGGGAGAGGAACAGUCACGGCCACAUUUUCCAGCUUCGUCCUGUGUGCAUCAUCGGGGGCCUUGCUGGGCCGGCCUCUCGGUGGGUGAUCCUGUUUCUGUCACCCCAUGCAGCCCCUCCCUGCUUCAUCACUGGUCCAUUUCUUUUUUCUGUUUUUUUUUUUUUAUGAAUGAUUUUUAUCUUUUCCAUUAUAGUUGGUUUACAGUGUUCUGUCAAUUUCUGCUAUACAGCAAAGUGACCCAGUCACACAUACACACACAUUUUUUUCCUCACGUUAUCCUCCAUCAUGUUCCAUUUCUUUCUCUUUUUUGGGCUGCACCUAUGGCAUAUGGAAGUUCCAGGGCCAGGGAUGGAAUCCAUGCCUCAGUGGCAACCCGAGCUCUGGCAGUCACAAUGCUGGAUCCUUAACCCACUGAGCCAACAGGGAACUCCACUGGUCCAUUUCUAUCUUUUUUGUUUGUUUUUCUUUUGUCUUUUUAGGGCCACACCCCUCCACCCUAUGCAGGUUCCCAGGCUGGGGGUCAAAUAGGAGCAGCAGCUGCCAGCCCACACCACAGCCACAGCAACGCAGGAUCUGAGCUGCGUCUGUGACCUACACCACAGCUCGUGGCAAGGCUGGAUCCUUAACCCACUGAGCAAGGGCAGGGAUCGAAGCUGUGUCGUCAUGGAUACUUGUUGGGUUCAUCACAGCAGGAACUCCUGGUCCAUUUCUCAAACAUACAUUUCUUUUCUUGGCAUAUGAGCCCGAACCUGUUCCUUGUUCUUUGUCUUGAGUUUUCUAGGAGAUAUUCUGUUUUCAACCCUCCAGGACAGGCAAAGGCAAUGUCUAUAAUUAAGUGUGUCUGUUCUUAAAUUCCACACACCUUAAUGGAUCAUUCCUGCUGAGGGACAUGGAAGACAAGGUGAGGAAGUAAAACCUGUCUCCAACAUCCUAGACAUCCGGCCUGCCCGGUGGGAGGCAGGUGAAAAAAAUCCCCCAUCCACUGAGCUACAACGUACGUCUUUGCCCCAGAACCUCCUGAUCUGCCCCUUCUUGCUUCCAAGGAAGAGCACCUGGGAUUUAAACUGAUACAGAAGUCACUAUCGGUUGUCACCGAUGGCCAAGGACAAGGGUGAUGCAGAGACCAACAGGUAACUU
This 4256-nucleotide long non-coding RNA is filed under the name Sus scrofa (pig). RNAcentral describes it as "lncRNA (ENSSSCG00000052714.1)". The record is from RNAcentral. Lineage: Eukaryota; Metazoa; Chordata; Mammalia; Artiodactyla; Suidae.